UGGACCACUCCUGACACUCAGACGCGAAAGCUAGGGUAGCAAACGGGAUUAGAGACCCCGGUAGUCCUANCCCUAAACGAUGUAGACUUGGCGUCGGUGGUUUAAUCGCCAUCGGUGUCGUAGCUAACGCGAUAAGUCUACCGCCUGGGGACUACGGCCGCAAGGUUAAAACUCAAAGGAAUUGACGGGUCCCCGCACAAGCAGCGGAGCGUGUGGUUUAAUUCGAUGCUACACGAAGAACCUUACCUGGGUUUGACAUAGAGGUAGUAGGGAAGCGAAAGCGGACCGACCCUUCGGGGAGCCUCUACAGGUGUUGCAUGGCUGUCGUCAGCUCGUGUCGUGAGAUGUUCGGUUAAGUCCGCUAACGAGCGCAACCCUCGCUGUGUGUUACAAGUGUCACACGGUACUGCCGAUAUUAAGUCA
RNAcentral lists this ribosomal RNA (423 nucleotides) under uncultured Chloroflexota bacterium. Its description in RNAcentral is "bacterial SSU rRNA". It matches the Rfam family "Bacterial small subunit ribosomal RNA", at positions 730 to 1165 of the family's 1533-position model. The record is from RNAcentral. Lineage: Bacteria; Bacillati; Chloroflexota.